AGAAUCGACUGGCAGCAAAGAUGUAUGAGUGAGAUUCCAGAGCGCUUACGUGAGGAAUUGCUUCUUCAAAUGUAUCCAAAACAUUGGUUCACAGAUGACGUCAACUGGCCAACAGUAUUUGAGACAUGGGUAAAGUGGAAUAAAUUUUCAUUAACCUGGGCAAAUCAUGUGAAGUGGAGAGAAUGGAGGAACCACCUUACAGCAUUAAUUGUGUUGAAGUAUCGGGUGAUAUCGCUUUUGUUGGUCAUGCACAAGGUGUUCAAUCUUACAACUUGACAUCAGGUGAAUCAACUGUCAUUUUCCAUGGGAUUGCCGUUGACUCAAUGGAACUAUUCACACAACCUGGUGCUCCUACAAAUGACAACGGUACUGCAAAAAUGCCACUCUCCACCUCAAAGAAUCCGAAUAUAAUCCCUAUUUUCCAAGUGGAGACUUUAUGCUGCUGUUGGGUGAAGACACUUACUCAUGUCUAUCUGAUUGUGACAAUUCAAAAGGCAUUUGUUUAUAUAAUAACACGAUUUCAUACUUUGUUAAGAGUUCACCUCUUGUUAUGGCAGCAUUAAACUUCAAGUUGGAGAGAAUCACCUCUUGGUGCUCUGCAGACAUUAAGUCACGGCCAAUUGAUUGUGCUUGUGGCUGUCUGCGUGCCAUGGCAUUUAAGUUGAAAACCUGGAAGUGUGGAAUGUUCUUUGCCAUCAGCAUGUGCAAUAGGCUUUACAUGAAUUUGAGAAAUUCAAGCAUCUAUGUGUAUUUGAAGGAAAAGGUCAUUACAGCCAUUGAGUUAUUUCAAAAUUUCCUCAUUUUGGGAACAGAUGUCGGAUAUUUAUUCCUGUAUCAAAUUCAAAAACUGGAAGAGCUUCUCCAGUUUGACUUAAAUAGCCCCAUUCACCGAAUUGAUGUGGACGACUCUGCAAUAAUUGCCAUUCGUAGUUAUCAAACAAAUUGCACUCCUGGUCUUGCAGUGGCAACUCGAUCUUGUCUUUAUCGGAUCACAGCCAGCGUCUAA
This 1006-nucleotide long non-coding RNA is filed under the name Bemisia tabaci. RNAcentral's name for it is "lncRNA ENSSSA2NGG004912". The record is from RNAcentral. Lineage: Eukaryota; Metazoa; Arthropoda; Insecta; Hemiptera; Aleyrodidae.